UCGGGAAUAUUGCGCAAUGGAGGGAACUCUGACGCAGUGACGCCGCGUAUAGGAAGAAGGUUUUCGGAUUGUAAACUAUUGUCGUUAGGGAAGAGAAAGGACAGUACCUAAGGAGGAAGCUCCGGCUAACUACGUGCCAGCAGCCGCGGUAAUACGUAGGGAGCGAGCGUUAUCCGGAAUUAUUGGGUGUAAAGGGUGCGUAGACGGGAGAACAAGUUAGUUGUGAAAUACCUCGGCUCAACUGAGGAACUGCAACUAAAACUGUACUUCUUGAGUGCAGGAGAGGUAAGUGGAAUUCCUAGUGUAGCGGUGAAAUGCGUAGAUAUUAGGAGGAACACCAGUGGCGAAGGCGACUUACUGGACUGUAACUGACGUUGAGGCACGAAAGUGUGGGGAGCAAACA
RNAcentral lists this ribosomal RNA (403 nucleotides) under uncultured bacterium. RNAcentral describes it as "bacterial SSU rRNA". It matches the Rfam family "Bacterial small subunit ribosomal RNA", at positions 355 to 774 of the family's 1533-position model. RNAcentral also lists the same sequence under 1 other name. The record is from RNAcentral.